AGGGGCGUAACUCAGUUGGUAGAGUAAUGGUCUCCAAAACCAUCUGUCGGAGGUUCGAGUCCUUCCGCCCCUGCCA
This 76-nucleotide transfer RNA is filed under the name Rickettsiales bacterium. RNAcentral describes it as "tRNA-Trp". It matches the Rfam family "tRNA". Rfam says of the family: Transfer RNA (tRNA) molecules are approximately 80 nucleotides in length. Their secondary structure includes four short double-helical elements and three loops (D, anti-codon, and T loops). Lineage: Bacteria; Pseudomonadati; Pseudomonadota; Alphaproteobacteria; Rickettsiales. The record is from RNAcentral.